ACCCUUCCCCAUUUCUUUCUUCAUCCUCAUCAUCUUUUACCUUCAAACUCUCAAUCCCUUUCUUCCCCUUCUCUCACGUCCCACUCCCCUCACCCACAGCGGCGGCACAACCAAGCCCAGCCAUGAGUUCCACCACCAACAGCAACCGCUUCUCCUCCUCCCUUUAUUGUUGGAGGCGACAUUAUCGAGGAGCCCUUCUAGUGAUCACGAAGUACCAGACUUAGCUUCUUGAAGCGUUCUUUUGUCUGAUUACAGAUCGGAACCGGUCGGGAACGAUGGGUUAGCGGUGUUGAAUAGCGUUCCAAGGAUGUAUAUUGAGCUGAGCACGUAGGAAUUUGUAGAUUUGUAUUAGGAUUUUGGAUAAAUGUAUAUUUGUUUUGGCUGUGCUGGUUAUAUCGGACUUGUAGAGAAUUGUAUGAUUAUCUUGUGUAUUAGUUAGAUGUUGGUUUUGGGAUUUAGCUGAGAUAGUCACGUUGAAGAGCUUGUGACCCCUUUGCUUGAGUUUUGGAAGUGUGAUUUCAGUUUCUUGGAAAACGAACUUAGUGAUGACCCUGUUUACCCAGUCAACGGUAAGUCGAGUUGUUACAAAACGCCAUCUUUAAUUCAUCGAUGUAGGAUAAAUCAUCCCAACAAAUCAUAUUUGCAAAGAUUUUUUCCAUAGGAGAUUCUAUGGUCAUUUGGUAAAAUACAUGAAACUGAACUAAACUUGUUUAAAAUGAGCUUUGCACAAUAUGGAUGCAAUAUCCUUGACAAUUAGUUUGUGGUCAUAUUAAAACCCUAACUUAUACUCCAUCUGUGGAUUCUGUCCCCAUGAGAAUGUCACAGUUUCUAUUUUGGUCCGUCUCUUUUACUUUGUUAUAAUAUUUUGAAUUCU
This is a long non-coding RNA of Amaranthus tricolor (Joseph's coat), 874 nucleotides long. RefSeq lists it as uncharacterized. The record is from RefSeq and is a predicted model, not a curated record. Lineage: Eukaryota; Viridiplantae; Streptophyta; Magnoliopsida; Caryophyllales; Amaranthaceae. The transcript is spliced from 3 exons.